Non-coding RNA from Leptosomus discolor (cuckoo roller), 339 nucleotides. The record is from RefSeq and is a predicted model, not a curated record. NCBI's taxonomy places the organism in Eukaryota, Metazoa, Chordata, Aves, Leptosomiformes, Leptosomidae.
AGGUGGCAAAAGUGGAAUACGUUAGAAAAAAGCCGAAAUUAAAAGAAGUUCUGGUGAGAUUAGAAGAGCAUAUGGAAUGCACCUGUACAUCAUCAAAUACUAAUUCAGAUUAUAGAGAAGAAGAAACUGGAAGGCCUAGGGAAUCAGGUAAAAAACGGAAACGAAAAAAGUUAAAACCAACAUAAAACCUACUGGAACUAUUUGAUAUUCAGAUGUAAGGUGAAAAUAAGCUAGAAAAAAAACUUCUCUCUGGGACAUGGAUGUACAUGGUUUGUUACAUUCCUGAACCUACUAUGUAUGGUGCUUAUUGACUGUAUACUUUAUUUGUUCUCCUAUGUG